AUGGUUUAUACACUAAAAAAAAGAAAAGUUGAAUGAUACAGAGAAGAUUAGCAUGGCGCCUGAGUGAGGAUGAUGCAAAUUCAUCAAGCGUUCCAUAUUAAAAUUUUUU
This is a small nuclear RNA of Pipistrellus kuhlii (Kuhl's pipistrelle), 109 nucleotides long. NCBI's taxonomy places the organism in Eukaryota, Metazoa, Chordata, Mammalia, Chiroptera, Vespertilionidae. The record is from RefSeq and is a predicted model, not a curated record.